AAUCAUUUUGGGCAAGAGGUUUAGGGUUUGAAGGUAUAUGGUUAUUUACUAAUUUUGUAUAAAUUAGUUGUAUUUAAAUGUCAAUCAUUGGUUCAACACACCAAAUUAGCAUGCUGACAUCGUACAUUGAGUAAAUAUUGAAUAAUGAAUAUUAACAUGUAUAAGAAGAGGAUAGAAAGGAAAGUCAUAUAUGGUCACUAACGUUAAUUUGUGAAGUUAGGAGUAGAAAUAUUUAAUUUCUUGUUUACUAGAUUUUUUUUUUCCAUUUUGGGUAUACAAAACUAUAUGUUUUCGUUAGCUUAUUGACAAAUGAAUUGUUUUAUGAAUGAUGUGAUCUUGUAAAUGUGUAUGUUUAAUUUGGGUGGUAAUUAAUUACAUUGAACAAAGAAUUGCUUUAGAUAAUUAAGAGAAGCUUAAACUGACAGAUAGUGCCAUUAUGGCUGCCUGGCUUCUUGGUGCUUAGUGUUAUAUGACUGAGCCUGCUGUUAUGUUAUUCCCGAGAGAUGCUUUCUUGUCACAAUACAAAUCAUUCAUUAGAAGAAGAUUUAAUUAAUAAUCAAUUCAUAAGAAAAUAUGUUAAUUCUACAUAUAGAAAUUGAAGGAGCAUGAAAGUAUAUGUAAAUAUUUUACACAUUAAUAACAAUUGGAUGCAGAGAAUUAAUUUCUUAUAUGUCUAAUCUGCAGAAAUUAAACUAUAUAUAUACUUCCAUUUUUUUUUAUUUCUGCAUAAUUUAAUGCAUCUGUGUGUUGCUUCUGCUCUGCUUUAAAGUAACUAAUAGUCAUUUACAAAGUAAAUCUGAAAUUUGAUAAAUAAUCUUGCAUAUAUUAAAACUCUAGUUACGUUGAAUCUUCUCUUCACCCCAAAGUACCCAGGUUCAAUA
This 881-nucleotide unclassified non-coding RNA is filed under the name Hevea brasiliensis (rubber tree). The record is from RNAcentral. Lineage: Eukaryota; Viridiplantae; Streptophyta; Magnoliopsida; Malpighiales; Euphorbiaceae.